This 492-nucleotide ribosomal RNA is filed under the name uncultured bacterium. Its description in RNAcentral is "partial 16S ribosomal RNA". It matches the Rfam family "Bacterial small subunit ribosomal RNA", at positions 29 to 507 of the family's 1533-position model. The record is from RNAcentral.
AGUGAACGCUGGCGGUAGGCCUAACACAUGCAAGUCGAACGGCAGCACAGUAAGAGCUUGCUCUUACGGGUGGCGAGUGGCGGACGGGUGAGGAAUACAUCGGAAUCUACUUUUUCGUGGGGGAUAACGUAGGGAAACUUACGCUAAUACCGCAUACGACCUACGGGUGAAAGCAGGGGAUCUUCGGACCUUGCGCGAUUGAAUGAGCCGAUGUCGGAUUAGCUAGUUGGCGGGGUAAAGGCCCACCAAGGCGACGAUCCGUAGCUGGACUGAGAGGAUGAUCAGCCACACUGGAACUGAGACACGGUCCAGACUCCUACGGGAGGCAGCAGUGGGGAAUAUUGGACAACGGGCGCAAGCCUGAUCCAGCCAUACCGCGUGGGUGAAGAAGGCCUUCGGGUUGUAAAGCCCUUUUGUUGGGAAAGAAAAGCAGCAGGUUAAUACCCCGCUGUUCUGACGGUACCCAAAGAAUAAGCACCGGCUAACUUCGUG